CUCCACCUUCAGGGAUUAUUCUCAGCUGCAGACGUGAACCUGUGCUUCUCCUGCUGCUGUGCAGUAAUACGUGAAGUGAUGUUAGUGACAAACCACUGAAUGUUGAUGUUUUCAGACUUGAACCGAUGAAUCAGCAUCUUCACACGUUAACAUGAAUUCAGCUGGUGGAAGCUCUGCAGCCAAUCACAGCCAGGACAGGGACGAG
Molecule: non-coding RNA, 205 nt
Organism: Paralichthys olivaceus (Japanese flounder)
Lineage: Eukaryota; Metazoa; Chordata; Actinopteri; Pleuronectiformes; Paralichthyidae
Source: RefSeq, a predicted model, not a curated record